This is a non-coding RNA of Taeniopygia guttata (zebra finch), 1924 nucleotides long. The record is from RefSeq and is a predicted model, not a curated record. NCBI's taxonomy places the organism in Eukaryota, Metazoa, Chordata, Aves, Passeriformes, Estrildidae.
UGGGAACAUGUGACAUGGUGUGAUGUGGCUCUGUAAUCUGCUCACAACAUCAAAGGUGGAUCCACCUCCAUGAACAGUUUUUGCACUGGUUCUUUGACAAGGAAGAGAUCUGUCUUGCAUUCCCUGGACUCUGCUCUUCCCAGAACAUCACAGCCCUGUCCUGCACAUUUCCCCAUUUCUCGGGGCUCGGCCGUUGAGGGCCUAAUUCAUCCCACCACACAGGGGUUUACACCAAGACUUGGCCAAACAGAUGCAGAUCUCAGCAUCAUCUGGCACCUGGUGGGUUCAGUGUCUGGAGGAAGCUUCCAUGAGCAGCUUCUGGAAACACCACAGUGCUGCUCAGUGUCUCAGCACUCAGCCCCAGCUUGGACCAGGAUUUGGAACAUCCAAGUGGAAGACUGUUUUGAAGACAAGGCUCCAGCAUCAAACCUCCAAGGGUUCUCAUCAGGGGAUUAAUUCCUCCUUCUCAUCGUCAUCAGGAGUAUGCACUUGAGCCCUCUGUGUGGGAAAUAGACACCUCUCCUCUGUGUGGCAGAAACACCCAGACAAUGAUUACACCCAUCAUCUAAUGGAUGGACAUGUAUCCCAGCCAGUUGUACCUAGGAACAGAAUGCAGAUUUAUUAUUCCCAGUUGCAAGCACUAUCAGGAGCCCAAGGAAUUAUUGGAAUAUAUUUUACAAUGUAAUAAAUUGGAAUUAUUGGAAUUGUUGGAAUAUAUUUUGGAAUUAUUAUUAAAUUGAAAUUAUUACAUUAUAUUUUAUAAAGGGAUAAAGAGAUUGUAAGGGAAAUGCAACCUCAGAGGAAGAAGUUUGGACAUCAUGAAGACAACAAGCAGAGGUAUUUAGGAGGAUGCAUAUUAUGCUUAAACACAAGUCCAUCAGAGGCAGCUGAGUCCCAUGUCACAGAAUAAGUUCAUCUCUUGGUGUCAUUCUAUGAGAGCUAUGAAGAUUCACCUGAGGAUCCAUUGGGAAGGUUGGAAGUCAUGUUGUCAAAGGACUUGUCUGAGAAGAAAGACACAGGAUGACUGCUAGCCCAGUGCCGUGCAUGUGAACCUUGUCUGGAAAGGAGCCAUACUGCAAGACUCCAGCUCCAGGCUCAAGUGGGGCCCUCUUUGGCUCCUUGGUGGCACACAUGGGUACCUCCUAAGGCUCUUGUCUUGCCCUUGUCUUUUUCCUCACCUGCUCUCUGAGGCUCUUCACUCUGGGCAGGGUUAUGGUGGUUGCUGGUUGCUGCUGGUCAUUUCAGACAGACUUUUUAUUUCCCUCAAUGUUUCUGACCCUGCCCCAUCCUGGACAUGGCUAUAAAUGAUGUUCCUUCUUCAUGUCUUGUCACAGCUUUUGCUCUAUUUUCUCUCCCUCUCCCUCAGCCUCCAAAGUGCUUGGCAUAUGUCUUUCAUCUAUCUGGCUCCACGAGUAUGCAAUGGGCACAAAAGCUAAUUAGCAGCUGAUGGGUUUUAAAUGUAACCUCAUGGUGCAGCCAUGCCUUUAAUGUAAAUAAGGCAUGUGCCUUAUAAGAAUGAACAUGUGGAGUCCUUUGAGAGCACUUCAGAGGAGACCCACUUGCUGCUCUGGACAGGUAUGACCUCUGCAAAAAACCUCUGAAAUACUCAGAUGACUUAAUGUGUGCUAUUCACACACUGCUUUGAAAACUUCCCUCAGUGCUCAACUACUUGUAGCAGCAGAAGUGCAUGAAAAUGUGAAAAAUUAAAAAUUCACUAUGAAUCUUUUGAACAAGAUCGAUAGGUUCUAUAGGCAAAUUUGGAGGAGUUGGUCAAGUUUUUAGAUGGCAUCCAUUUCUGACACCCCUCUGGCCCUAUUUACUAAAAGAAAUUGAGUUCAAAGAAAGGCAGUAAAAUCAAGGAAAAGAUGCUUCUAAAGUGAAGCUAUUAACAAUAAAUAAAAUGAGAAAACAAAUCAGAAUAAAA